RNAcentral lists this ribosomal RNA (292 nucleotides) under uncultured bacterium. RNAcentral describes it as "partial 16S ribosomal RNA". The record is from RNAcentral.
GGACUACUGGGGUUUCUAAUCCUGUUUGCUCCCCACGCUUUCGUGCUUGAACGUCGGCGCUGGACCAGGAAGCCGCUUUCGCCACUGAUGUUCCUUCUGAUAUCUACGCAUUUCACCGCUACACCAGAAAUUCCGCUUCCCUCUUCCGCACCCUAGCUUUGCAGUCUCGAAUGCAAUUCCCAGGUUGAGCCCGGGGCUUUCACACCCGACUUACGAAACCGUCUACGCACGCUUUACGCCCAGUAAUUCCGAUUAACGCUUGCACCCUCUGUAUUACCGCGGCUGCUGGCAC